Molecule: ribosomal RNA, 208 nt
Filed under: uncultured bacterium
Lineage: Bacteria
Description: partial 16S ribosomal RNA
Rfam family: Bacterial small subunit ribosomal RNA
Source: RNAcentral
AGUGUAGGCGGCGGCAUAAGUCCGAUGUGAAAGCCCUCGGCUCAACCGAGGAAGUGCAUCGGAUACUGUGUUGCUUGAUUUUUCGAAGGGGGUGGCGGAAUUCCCGGUGUAGAGGUGAAAUUCGUAGAUAUCGGGAGGAACACCUGUGGCGAAGGCGGCCACCUGGACGAAUAAUGACGCUGAGACUCGAAAGCGUGGGUAGCAAACA